GUGGGGAAUAUUGGACAAUGGGCGAAAGCCUGAUCCAGCCAUGCCGCGUGUGUGAAGAAGGUCUUCGGAUUGUAAAGCACUUUAAGUUGGGAGGAAGGGUAGUAACCUAAUACGUUGCUACUUUGACGUUACCGACAGAAUAAGCACCGGCUAACUUCGUGCCAGCAGCCGCGGUAAUACGAAGGGUGCAAGCGUUGUCCGGAAUGAUUGGGCGUAAAGGGCGCGUAGGCGGCCCGGUAAGUCUGAAGUGAAAGUCCUGCUUUUAAGGUGGGAAUUGCUUUGGAUACUGUCGGGCUUGAGUGCAGGAGAGGUAAGCGGAAUUCCCGGUGUAGCGGUGAAAUGCGUAGAGAUCGGGAGGAACACCAGUGGCGAAGGCGGCUUACUGGACUGUAACUGACGCUGAGGCGCGAAAGUGUGGGGAGCAAACAGGAUUAGAUACCCUAGUAGUCC
Molecule: ribosomal RNA, 450 nt
Filed under: uncultured bacterium
Lineage: Bacteria
Description: partial 16S ribosomal RNA
Rfam family: Bacterial small subunit ribosomal RNA
Source: RNAcentral